ACUAACAAGGAUCCCCUAGUAACUGCGAGUGAAGCGGGAAAAGCUCAAAUUUAAAAUCUGGCGGUCUUUGGUCGUCCGAGUUGUAAUCUAGAGAAGUAAUGCCCGUGCUGGACCGUGUAUAAGUCUCCUGGGAUGGGGCGUCAUAGAGGGUGAGAAUCCCGUCUUUGACACGGACUACCAGUGCAUUGUGGUAUGCUCUCAAAGAGUCGAGUUGUUUGGGAAUGCAGCUCAAAAUGGGUGGUAAAUUCCAUCUAAAGCUAAAUAUUGGCGAGAGACCGAUAGCGAACAAGUACCGUGAGGGAAAGAUGAAAAGAACUUUGGAAAGAGAGUUAAACAGUACGUGAAAUUGCUGAAAGGGAAACGCUUGAAGUCAGUCGCGUUGGCCGGGGAUCAGCCUUGCUUUUGCAUGGUGUACUUUCUGGUUGACGGGUCAGCAUCAAUUUUGACCGCUGGAAAAGGGCCUGGGGAAUGUGGCAGCUUCGGCUGUGUUAUAGCCCCUGGUCACAUACGGCGGUUGGGAUUGAGGAACUCAGCACGCCGCAAGGCCGGGUUUCGACCACGUUCGUGCUUAGGAUGCUGGCAUAAUGGCUUUAAGCGACCCGUCUUGAAACACGGACCAAGGAGUCUAACAUGCCUGCGAGUAUUUGGGUGAAAAACCCGAGUGCGCAAUGAAAGUGAAAGUUGAGAUCCCUGUCGUGGGGAGCAUCGACGCCCGGACCAGAACUUUUGGGACGGAUCCGCGGUGGAGCAUGUAUGUUGGGACCCGAAAGAUGGUGAACUAUGCCUGAAUAGGGUGAAGCCAGAGGAAACUCUGGUGGAGGCUCGUAGCGAUUCUGACGUGCAAAUCGAUCGUCAAAUUUGGGUAUAGGGGCGAAAGACUAAUCGA
This 886-nucleotide ribosomal RNA is filed under the name Agaricus sylvicola. RNAcentral's name for it is "partial large subunit ribosomal RNA". It matches the Rfam family "Eukaryotic large subunit ribosomal RNA", at positions 64 to 938 of the family's 3401-position model. The record is from RNAcentral. Lineage: Eukaryota; Fungi; Basidiomycota; Agaricomycetes; Agaricales; Agaricaceae.